UAGGGAAUCUUCCGCAAUGGACGCAAGUCUGACGGAGCAACGCCGCGUGAGUGAAGAAGGAUUUCGGUUCGUAAAACUCUGUUGUUAGAGAAGAACAGCGCAUAGAGUAACUGUUAUGCGUGUGACGGUAUCUAACCAGAAAGCCACGGCUAACUACGUGCCAGCAGCCGCGGUAAUACGUAGGUGGCAAGCGUUGUCCGGAUUUAUUGGGCGUAAAGCGAGCGCAGGCGGUCAAUUAAGUCAGAUGUGAAAGCCCCCGGCUCAACCGGGGAGGGUCAUUGGAAACUGGUUGACUUGAGUGCAGAAGAGGAGAGUGGAAGUCCAUGUGUAGCGGUGAAAUGCGUAGAUAUAUGGAGGAACACCAGUGGCGAAGGCGACUCUCUGGUCUGUAACUGACGCUGAGGUUCGAAAGCGUGGGUAGCAAACAGG
This 429-nucleotide ribosomal RNA is filed under the name Bacteroidota bacterium. Its description in RNAcentral is "Bacteroidetes bacterium partial 16S ribosomal RNA". It matches the Rfam family "Bacterial small subunit ribosomal RNA", at positions 355 to 776 of the family's 1533-position model. The record is from RNAcentral. Lineage: Bacteria; Pseudomonadati; Bacteroidota.